GCGUGAGCGAUGAAGGCCUUAGGGUUGUAAAGCUCUUUCAGCGGGGACGAUAAUGACGGUACCCGCAGAAGAAGCCCCGGCUAACUCCGUGCCAGCAGCCGCGGUAAUACGGAGGGGGCUAGCGUUGUUCGGAAUUACUGGGCGUAAAGCGCACGUAGGCGGACCGAUCAGUCGGGGGUGAAAUCCCGGGGCUCAACCCCGGAACUGCCUUCGAUACUGUCGGUCUGGAGGAUGAGAGAGGCGAGUGGAAUUCCGAGUGUAGAGGUGAAAUUCGU
Molecule: ribosomal RNA, 275 nt
Filed under: uncultured bacterium
Lineage: Bacteria
Description: partial 16S ribosomal RNA
Rfam family: Bacterial small subunit ribosomal RNA
Source: RNAcentral